Molecule: ribosomal RNA, 236 nt
Filed under: uncultured bacterium
Lineage: Bacteria
Description: partial 16S ribosomal RNA
Rfam family: Bacterial small subunit ribosomal RNA
Source: RNAcentral
UUGUCCGGAAUCAUUGGGCGUAAAGAGCGUGUAGGCGGUCCGGUCAGUCGGUUGUGAAAGUCAAGGGCUCAACCCUGGGAUGCCGGUGGAUACUGUCGAGCUCGAGUCCGGAAGAGGCGAGUGGAAUUCCUGGUGUAGCGGUGAAAUGCGCAGAUAUCAGGAGGAACACCAAUGGCGAAGGCAGCUCGCUGGGACGUGACUGACGCUGAGACGCGAAAGCGUGGGGAGCAAACAGG